Molecule: ribosomal RNA, 254 nt
Filed under: uncultured bacterium
Lineage: Bacteria
Description: partial 16S ribosomal RNA
Rfam family: Bacterial small subunit ribosomal RNA
Source: RNAcentral
UACGGAAGGGGCAAGCGUUGUUCGGAAUUACUGGGCGUAAAGGGCGCGCAGGCGGCUGCUCAAGUCAGGCGUGAAAGGCCUGGGCUCAACCCGGGAAUUGCGCUUGAGACUGGGCUGGCUUGAGUGCGGGAGAGGAACGCGGAAUUCCAGGUGUAGCGGUGAAAUGCGUAGAUAUCUGGAGGAACACCGGUGGCGAAGGCGGCGUUCUGGACUGCAACUGACACUGAGAGACGAAAGCCAGGGGAGCAAACGGG